GGCUAAAAAGCUCGUAGUUGGAUUUCUAGAUGAGAGGAGUGGUCCACUCUAUGAGUGUGUAUCUACUUCCGCUCGUCUAUCCGCUCUGCAAACGUGUCUGCGCUUGACUGCGUGGCGCGGAGGUAGGGCCUUUUACUUUGAGGAAAUUAGAGUGUUCACGGCAGGCAAUCGCCUUGAAUAUAUUAGCAUGGAAUAAUAACAUAGGAUCUCGGUUCUAUUUUGUUGGUUUCUAGAGCUGAGAUAAUGAUUAAUAGGGACAAUUGGGGGCAUUCGUAUCGCGGUGUCAGAGGUGGAAUUCUUGGAUUACUGCGCGACGAACUACUGCGAAAGCAUUUGCCAAGGAUGUUUUCAUUGAUCAAGAACGAAAGUAAGGGGAUCGAAGACGAUUAGAUACCGUCGUAGUCUCUACCAUAAACUAUGCCAACUAGAGAUGGGGCGUCGUUCUUACAUGACUCGCUCCGCACCUUAUGAGAAAUCAAAGUUUUUGGGUUCCGGGGGGAGUAUGGUCGCAAGGCUGAAACUUAAAGGAAUUGACGGAAGGGCACCACCAGGAGUGGAGCCUGCGGCUUAAUUUGACUCAACACGGGAAAACUCACCAGGUCCAGACAUA
Molecule: ribosomal RNA, 610 nt
Filed under: marine plankton environmental sample
Lineage: Eukaryota
Description: SSU rRNA
Rfam family: Eukaryotic small subunit ribosomal RNA
Source: RNAcentral